GUCGAGAGGCUUCUACAAUGGGGGAAACCCUGAUAGAGCGACGCCGCGUGGGUGAUGAAGGUCUUCGGAUCGUAAAGCCCUUUCAGCAGGGAAGAAUGAGGCUGGUGUAAACAGCGCCAGACUCGGGACGGUACCUGCAGAAGAAGCUCCGGCUAACUCCGUGCCAGCAGCCGCGGUAAGACGGAGGGAGCAAGCGUUGUUCGGAUUUACUGGGCGUAAAGGGCGUCUAGGCGGGCCAGCCAGUCAGGUGUGAAACCCCCCGGCUCAACCGGGGAUCUGCACUUGAUACUGCUGGUCUUGAGUACGAAAGAGGAAGGCGGAAUUCCUGGUGUAGCGGUGAAAUGCGUAGAUAUCAGGAAGAACACCGGUGGCGAAGGCGGCCUUCUGGUUCGAUACUGACGCUAAAGCGCGAAAGUGUGGGGAGCAAACAGGAUUAGAUACCCUAGUAGUCC
This 452-nucleotide ribosomal RNA is filed under the name uncultured bacterium. RNAcentral describes it as "bacterial SSU rRNA". It matches the Rfam family "Bacterial small subunit ribosomal RNA", at positions 354 to 796 of the family's 1533-position model. The record is from RNAcentral.